UACGGAGGGCGCUAGCGUUGUUCGGAUAUACUGGGCGUAAAGCGCACGUAGGCGGCGCAGCAAGUCAGGGGUGAAAUCCCGGAGCUCAACUCCGGAACUGCCUUUGAAACUGCAGUGCUAGAAUCCUGGAGAGGCGAGUGGAAUUCCGAGUGUAGAGGUGAAAUUCGUAGAUAUUCGGAAGAACACCAGUGGCGAAGGCGACUCGCUGGACAGGUAUUGACGCUGAGGUGCGAAAGCGUGGGGAGCAAACAGG
RNAcentral lists this ribosomal RNA (253 nucleotides) under uncultured bacterium. Its description in RNAcentral is "partial 16S ribosomal RNA". It matches the Rfam family "Bacterial small subunit ribosomal RNA", at positions 524 to 776 of the family's 1533-position model. The record is from RNAcentral.